GAUGAACGCUAGCGGGAGGCUUAACACAUGCAAGUCGAGGGGCAGCACGGGGUAACAAUACUCUGGUGGCGACCGGCAAACGGGUGAGUAACGCGUAUGUAACCUACCCUGUACAGGGGGAUAACCCGGAGAAAUUCGGACUAAUAUCCCAUAACAAUAUCUGGAGGCAUCUUUGGAUAUUUAAAGUUCUGGCGGUACGGGAUGGGCGUGCGUAACAUUAGCUAGUUGGUAAGGUAACGGCCUACCAAGGCUUUGAUGUUUAGGGGUCCUGAGAGGGUGGUCCCCCACACUGGUACUGAGACACGGACCAGACUCCUACGGGAGGCAGCAGUGAGGAAUAUUGGUCAAUGGGCGCAAGCCUGAACCAGCCAUCCCGCGUGCAGGAAGACGGCCCUAUGGGUUGUAAACUGCUUUUCCAGGGAGAGAAACUUGCGCACGUGUUGCGCAAUUGACGGUACCCUGGGAAUAAGCAUCGGCUAACUCCGUG
Molecule: ribosomal RNA, 487 nt
Filed under: uncultured bacterium
Lineage: Bacteria
Description: bacterial SSU rRNA
Rfam family: Bacterial small subunit ribosomal RNA
Source: RNAcentral